CUCAUCCCUGUUGCAAAAGAGUGAGAAGAUUUUAAAGUAGAGGUGACACACCUACCGAGCCUAGAAAUAGCUGGUUAUUCAAAAGACGGAUUUAAGUCCGACUUUAAGUUUUACUAGUCUUACUAAACAAUUACUAAACUUAAAAGCCAUUUAAAUAAGGUACAGCCUAUUUAAACAAGGAUACAACCUAUAAUAUCGGGUAAUGUUUAUUAACAUGACCAAGUAGGCCUAAAAGCAGCCACCUUCUAAAAAGCGUCCAAGCUUCUCCACUAAAUAUUUCUAAUACCACCAUUUAUCCGCAACCCCCAACCACUACUGAAUGACCCCAUAACUAAUAUGGAAGACACC
Molecule: ribosomal RNA, 348 nt
Filed under: Stumpffia sorata
Lineage: Eukaryota; Metazoa; Chordata; Amphibia; Anura; Microhylidae
Description: partial 16S ribosomal RNA
Source: RNAcentral